Molecule: non-coding RNA, 118 nt
Filed under: Thalassiosira antarctica
Lineage: Eukaryota; Bacillariophyta; Thalassiosirophyceae; Thalassiosirales; Thalassiosiraceae
Source: RNAcentral
CUCCCUCACUCCACCCUUCGGCGUCUGCGCCCUGACCACCGCGUCGGUGUUUUACAGAGAUGUUGUCGCUGCCUAUCUCCUCGUUGGUAGUUUAUUUUCUACCCUCGUCAGUUCGAUU